This is a non-coding RNA of Pelobates cultripes (western spadefoot toad), 501 nucleotides long. The record is from the annotation of a GenBank genome assembly. Lineage: Eukaryota; Metazoa; Chordata; Amphibia; Anura; Pelobatidae.
CAAAUACAUAUUUUCAAUCCUAUGCUACACGUAAGGUUAAUGGGGUGCAUAUCGUCUUAGGCCUAGUGGCCGGGUAUGGGGUGGCCUGUCUAUAUGAGUGGUGCCAUGUUGGAUUUGGUCUCAGACCUUGUGCCUCUUAUCGUGUCUACGUUGUGCAUUGUCUUGCUGCUCCACCCACUUCAGGUGUUUGCGCAGGACCUAACUAUUGGCAGGUCAGGUGGGCUUCUGGUUAUGGUAGCUUAACUAAGACAGUUUUUUUCCAUUCUCUGGUUAAGGCUACUGGCCAGUUCGGCAGUGCUUUGUGGUGGGUUUUUUGUUUUUUUUUUAAAUUGCGUGUGCUUGCAUAGUGGUAGUAAUGCCUUUGUGCCUCCCUUCUAAAGGUGGUAUUCAGAUGUAUCCGUUUCCCCCCUGUUCCUCCCUCAAGUCCGCCUGACCGCUUGGCUCAUUUUCCUUUUUAAAUUUGUCAUGUUAUAAGAGCCCUACAGGUAGCGUCCCGUGUUG